UACGAAGGGUGCAAGCGUUACUCGGAAUUACUGGGCGUAAAGCGUACGUAGGUGGUUCGUUAAGUCUGAUGUGAAAGCCCUGGGCUCAACCUGGGAAUGGCAUUGGAAACUGGCGACCUAGAGUGCGGUAGAGGGUAGUGGAAUUCCCGGUGUAGCAGUGAAAUGCGUAGAGAUCGGGAGGAACAUCCGUGGCGAAGGCGACUACCUGGACCAGCACUGACGCUCAUGCACGAAAGCGUGGGGAGCAAACAGG
This 253-nucleotide ribosomal RNA is filed under the name uncultured bacterium. RNAcentral's name for it is "partial 16S ribosomal RNA". It matches the Rfam family "Bacterial small subunit ribosomal RNA", at positions 524 to 776 of the family's 1533-position model. The record is from RNAcentral.